Molecule: long non-coding RNA, 578 nt
Filed under: Cottoperca gobio
Lineage: Eukaryota; Metazoa; Chordata; Actinopteri; Perciformes; Bovichtidae
Description: lncRNA (ENSCGOG00000016230.1)
Source: RNAcentral
UACAAAGAGCCGGCUCUCAGAGCCAAUGCUUGUGCGCAUGACCCAUCACUAACGGACACACCCCUCUAAGAUGUCACGGCAUAUUAUUUGAGGAUAAAAGGCAUAUUCUUCAUCAGUAGAUUAACACAUUCUCCCUCUUUCUGCAGCCAAGCAAGAACAGACAAACAAUACUCCUUUUUCACAACAGGAUGAGAGAUCUUGGAGAACAUUUGAAGAUUUUCAGUUGAUAUUGGAAACUAGAAGAAAAUGAGACUGUGUGGGCUGAAACACACAAGAAGCCUGAUUCCCUACAUGUUUACAGACAGAGAUCCACUCAUCAACAUCGGAGAAGGAAGCGUGGUGAUUGGAUUAAGUACAGCGGACGUUGACGCGGUCACCGCCCACGGCUUCUUCCGACCAGCCAGCCAGAAAGUCAGACCUGUCGGUCCAAACACCACUGAGAGUGACCGAAUCUUUGGGGUAGAACCCACAUGGUUGAAUGCACUUAUUGUAAGUCGCUUUGGAUAAAAGCAUCAUCUAAGUAAAUGUAAUUCAACGUAAUGCAAAAGACUUGGUGUAUAUAAGUUAUUUCAGUAACU